This 497-nucleotide ribosomal RNA is filed under the name uncultured bacterium. RNAcentral describes it as "partial 16S ribosomal RNA". It matches the Rfam family "Bacterial small subunit ribosomal RNA", at positions 28 to 507 of the family's 1533-position model. The record is from RNAcentral.
GAUGAACGCUGGCGGCGUGCCUAAUACAUGCAAGUCGAGCGAACAGACGAGGAGCUUGCUCCUCUGACGUUAGCGGCGGACGGGUGAGUAACACGUGGAUAACCUACCUAUAAGACUGGGAUAACUUCGGGAAACCGGAGCUAAUACCGGAUAACAUGUUGAACCGCAUGGUUCAACAGUGAAAGACGGUCUUGCUGUCACUUAUAGAUGGAUCCGCGCCGCAUUAACUAGUUGGUAAGGUAACGGCUUACCAAGGCAACGAUGCGUAGCCGACCUGAGAGGGUGAUCGGCCACACUGGAACUGAGACACGGUCCAGACUCCUACGGGAGGCAGCAGUAGGGAAUCUUCCGCAAUGGGCGAAAGCCUGACGGAGCAACGCCGCGUGAGUGAAGAAGGUCUUCGGAUCGUAAAACUCUGUUAUUAGGGAAGAACAAAUGUGUAAGUAACUAUGCACGUCUUGACGGUACCUAAUCAGAAAGCCACGGCUAACUACGUG